This is a long non-coding RNA of Acinonyx jubatus (cheetah), 1143 nucleotides long. RefSeq lists it as uncharacterized. The transcript has 3 exons. The record is from RefSeq and is a predicted model, not a curated record. NCBI's taxonomy places the organism in Eukaryota, Metazoa, Chordata, Mammalia, Carnivora, Felidae.
GCCUCACUGCGAGCUCUCAGGCUCCUCGGUUCCCUCUUCAAAGCUUCCUUCACGGGUGAGAGGCCCUGCGAAGGGAGAAGGUUUUUAUGAGGUGCUAGGGACCCAUUUUUGAGGCCUUACAUGUCUGCAGAAUGUUGGCAGUUUCUUCAGGACACUUAGGUUUCAGGUUUGGCAGCACUAACUGGAAAGCAUCUGUGGGUCUUUAAGAAGGAGGGUGCGGCCUCAUGGCAACGAGAGGCCUCUUUUAACCACCCUAUCUAAGGGAGCCCCCUCCGGUCCCCCUGUCCCCCUCCUCCCACUUAGGCCGGAAGCUCCAGAAGGCUCAGAGCCUGCCGGGUCGCCCAGCACAUAACAGGCACCUGAUAAAUAUUCAUGAAGUGAAGGAAUGGGCAGCGAGUGAACGAAGGAAUGAGCAAACGAAUGAUUAGGCGAGUUGCCAAAGGUUCCGUGAGUCGCCUGGAAGCCGACUGGCUGGCCUGAGCCUGUGUCCUCAUACGUCCUGCCUGCCUUGCACCUUGCCCGGGCCCUCUGGCCCCUCAUCCCAGACUGACUGGCAACCCGAGGGCGGGAGCAGUGGCCCUGGGGACACAGCGUGGGGCCAGGCACAGGGGGGCUAUUCAGUAAAGGCUGGCUGCAAAGUCCUCACCCCCCCCCCCCACGCCCCCAUUCGAACCUUCCCCAGUCCGGAGCGCUCUCUGCUUUCCUGCAAAUGAAGACUCCAAGCAGCUUGUCUUCUCAGAGACCGGGUGGGGGUGGCAGUGGGGAGAAGGGGCCCUUGGGGGAAAGCAUCCAGCCUGGGGGGACAGGGUGGGGCCGCGUAGGACUGCCAUCCCCUCCUCAGCCUGGGUUCUGGAAAGGUCCUGACUUGUUCUCCUCAGCCUCUGAGUGAGUUUCCAAGGACACUCUGGGCUCUCAGGGACAGGUGAUGAAAUGGAAUCUCAGAGAGGCCAAGCCAUUUGCCUGAGGUCACAAAGCAUUUUCAGACCAGGCCCCAAGGCUCUUUCAGAGAGGGAUGGGAGGAGAGGAGAAAAGUGCAUCCAGUUCAUCUCCCCGGAAGUAGAAGCCACCACAAGGGGGCGCCUGGGUGGCUCAGUCGGUUGAGCGGCUGACUUCAGCUCAGGUCAUGAUCCCUCGUUCAUGAGC